This 270-nucleotide unclassified non-coding RNA is filed under the name Hevea brasiliensis (rubber tree). Lineage: Eukaryota; Viridiplantae; Streptophyta; Magnoliopsida; Malpighiales; Euphorbiaceae. The record is from RNAcentral.
GGGAAUAAGGGGAAAAACGAGGUGGAGAAGGAGAAGGAGAAGAGGUUCAAGACGUUGCCGGCGGCGGAGGCGCUGCCGAGGAACGAGAGAAUCGGCGGUUAUAUAUUCGUGUGCAAUAACGAUACGAUGGCGGAGAAUUUGAAACGGCAGCUUUUUGGGCUGCCGCCGCGGUACAGGGAUUCGGUUAGGGCAAUAACCCCGGGGCUGCCGCUUUUUCUCUACAAUUACUCUACACACCAACUUCAUGGAGUUUUUGAGGCUGCAAGCUUU